UACGAAGGUGGCAAGCGUUGUUCGGAUUUACUGGGCGUAAAGGGAGCGUAGGUGGUUAGGUAAGCCCUCCGGGAAAUCUUCAGGCUUAACCUGAAAAGGUCGGGGGGGACUGCCUAGCUAGAGGGCGGGAGAGGAGCGCGGAAUUCCCGGUGUAGCAGCGAAAUGCGUAGAGAUCGGGAGGAACACCAGUGGCGAAGGCGACUACCUGGACCAGCACUGACACUGAGGCACGAAAGCGUGGGGAGCAAACAGG
This 253-nucleotide ribosomal RNA is filed under the name uncultured bacterium. Its description in RNAcentral is "partial 16S ribosomal RNA". It matches the Rfam family "Bacterial small subunit ribosomal RNA", at positions 524 to 776 of the family's 1533-position model. The record is from RNAcentral.